CUACGGGUGGCUGCAGUGGGGAAUCUUAGACAAUGGGGGCAACCCUGAUCUAGCCAUGCCGCGUGAGUGAAGAAGGCCCUAGGGUUGUAAAGCUCUUUCACCUGUGAGGAUGAUGACAGUAGCAGGAUAAGAAGGACCGGCUAACUCCGUGCCAGCAGCCGCGGUAAGACGGAGGGUCCUAGCGUUGUUCGGAAUGACUGGGCGUAAAGGGUACGUAGGCGGUUUGGUCAGUUAGAUGUGAAAUCCCAGGGCUCAACCUUGGAACUGCAUUUAAUACUGCCAGACUUGAGAUCGGAAGAGGAAAGCGGAAUUCCUAGUGUAGAGGUGAAAUUCGUAGAUAUUAGGAGGAACAUCAGAGGCGAAGGCGGCUUUCUGGUCCGAUACUGACGCUGAGGUACGAAAGCGUGGGGAGCAAACAGGAUUAGAUACCCGCGUAGUC
RNAcentral lists this ribosomal RNA (439 nucleotides) under uncultured bacterium. Its description in RNAcentral is "partial 16S ribosomal RNA". It matches the Rfam family "Bacterial small subunit ribosomal RNA", at positions 339 to 795 of the family's 1533-position model. The record is from RNAcentral.